Molecule: ribosomal RNA, 468 nt
Filed under: uncultured bacterium
Lineage: Bacteria
Description: partial 16S ribosomal RNA
Rfam family: Bacterial small subunit ribosomal RNA
Source: RNAcentral
GAAGAAAGAGGGAGGAGGGAGGAACACAGGCAAGUCGAACGGAAAGGCCCUGCUUUUGUGGGGUGCUUGAGUGGCGAACGGGUGAGUAACACGUGAGUAACAUGCUCUUGACUUUGGGAUAACUUCAGGAAACUGGGGCUAAUACCGGAUAGGAGCUCCUGCUGCAUGGUGGGGGUUGGAAAGUUUCGGCGGUUGGGGAUGGACUCGCGGCUUAUCAGCUUGUUGGUGGGGUAGUGGCUUACCAAGGCUUUGACGGGUAGCCGGCCUGAGAGGGUGACCGGCCACAUUGGGACUGAGAUACGGCCCAGACUCCUACGGGAGGCAGCAGUGGGGAAUAUUGCACAAUGGGCGGAAGCCUGAUGCAGCAACGCCGCGUGCGGGAUGACGGCCUUCGAUUUGUAAACCGCUUUCGCCUGUGACGAAGCGUGAGUGACGGUAAUGGGUAAAGAAGCACCGGCUAACUACGUC